Molecule: long non-coding RNA, 446 nt
Filed under: Zostera marina
Lineage: Eukaryota; Viridiplantae; Streptophyta; Magnoliopsida; Alismatales; Zosteraceae
Description: long non-coding RNA (ZMAR_LNC000288)
Source: RNAcentral
GAGCCACAAACCAUGUUACAAGAGCUCAGGAAAAUAUUCAGGAAGGUAUGGAGUGUGAUAGGUCGAUUAAUACAGCUGAUGGUCGACCUAUGAAAAUCACACAAUAUGGUAAUUCGACUUUAUCAAUUGAUAAUCGAAAAUUUAAUAUGAAUCAACUACUUUUUGUUCCCUCUGCAUCUAAGAAUCUUAUUUCUGUGAAAAGAUUCUUUAUUGACAAUGAAGUUUCCAUGGAAUUUGAUCCACAGAGAGUGAUUGUGAAGGAUCUCAAAACUAAAGAAGUGCUGAUUCGUGGGCCAACAGGGGAUGGAUUGUAUGAGCUACCAAUUUGUAUGAAGAAUAAAGGAAUGCAGGCUAACCAAGUGGAGAUGGGGAUGAAAGCCACAGCCCAAACAUGGCACUUGAGGCUAGGGCAUCUAUAUUCAAGGGCAGUGGAGGGUCUUAAUAGA